AGGAUUAUACUGAGCAACUAGAGAGCUACAAGAAACUGUACGAGAAAAAAGAGAUGCCAAAGUUAAUAAUAAAAGAGGUAAUUUAUAUAUUUUUUAGAUAUCCUGAUUGAAAAUGCAUCAGAUAUGCGAAUUACUUUCUUGAGAGAAGGAUUGUAAUAAGGCCCUUUUAAAGUCACAUGGUCUAUACAUUAUAUCUCUGAUUCCUAGCUUGAUUCUGUCAAAUUCUUUGAAAUUAUGCCCUGCCCUAUUUUCUGCUGUAAAUGAGAGCAACAGCUCAGUUUCUCCUACAUGGUAUCUUCAAAGAUGGUCGACAUGUGGCUGUGUUUGGUUUCCGGAAUCUGAAUUCUGGGGCAAGAGGGAACUGGCGAGAUUUCAGGCAGAGAGUAGAAGACUCGAAAAAGGAAUGGUGGUGGGGCUGGGAAGACAGAUUUUAGGAUAAAUGAUCUGGACUUCAAUAAUACUACUUUUUGUUUGUAUUAUAGGAUAAAUUCUAGAUCUGCAAUCAGAUUUCUGUAUUUUAUGGCUAAAGGCAGUUACUUACACUUUCCAGCGAUUAUAAGUUCCUGAAACCAAAAACAGCUUCAGUGGUAUAACAUUUGUCAUUCAGCAAACUAUUGCUCCCAUUUGCAGAGUAAUGCAUUGACCAUAUCAUUUCCAUGCAUAUUGGUUUUUUUUAUAUUAUGGUUACCUGCAGCUUGGUAUUAUUAUUAUAGCAAGCUUAAACUGUUUUGUUCUUCUUAAUCAGGUUUCGGAUGCUCGUCAAGAUAUUUCUCAAUUAGGUGAUAAUGAUGUGGAUUUGCUACGGAAAAUGGUUUCUGAUUUGGUGAGUUUGUCAACUCUACUACUACCACCUCUUCGUUUAUAGUGUUUCUAGAAUAUUUUUCCAGCACUAAUAGGAUCAUAGCAAUUCUGAAUUUCAAUGAAUGUUUUUUUCUUAAUUUUUCCAUCCCUUGUGAGGAUGUGAAUACAAAGGUAAAUUGCGGAUUUGUAUGAACAAGGAAUACAUAGGUAAUGGUAAAUACAGUUAAUCGACCGACAUUGUCUUACCCCUCACUGUUUGGAUUUGUGUUUUGGUAUAUCAACUUUGACUGGAAGCCAACCAGUUUCCUGCAUUACACUUUGCAUGUAAACCAUUAUUUCCAAUCUGAUCUUUUGUUCACUAAGUGUUAUAUUAAUUCCUUCGAUUAUCAUUGCCAAAUACAGAACAUUCAAUCGGUUGCUUCUGACAUAAAUGUUCCCUUUUACCAGGUUGGAAUAGUAUCAGAAGUGUCAAUUACUGAUCGCGAUCAAGAAUAUUCAAAUUUCCUAUAUAAUUUAGUGAUAGAAGAAGGAUGUGAUUUUGAUGAGGACUUCUUGGGAGAAGUUUUUGAUCUCUUAAACGAGGACCAUGUUGUGGCAAGAGGGUUUAUUUCUAAAAGUUCAAAUAUGCGAAAGAAGUGGUUGACGGAAUUUGUUAAGAGACAUCGUGAUGUUGCAUGUAAGAAUUUACAAUGAGGUUCAUUAUAAUAUACAGUAUGUUGAUCGAAGUUGGAAGUCAAAACCUUUGCUCAUACAGUGAACUCAUACAGUAAGAAUUUAAUGUGGUUGAUU
Molecule: long non-coding RNA, 1590 nt
Filed under: Aquilegia coerulea
Lineage: Eukaryota; Viridiplantae; Streptophyta; Magnoliopsida; Ranunculales; Ranunculaceae
Description: long non-coding RNA (ACOE_LNC002113)
Source: RNAcentral